AUGAACGCUGGCGGCGUGCCUAAUACAUGCCAGUCGAGCGGACAGACGAGGAGCUUGCUCCUCUGACGUUAGCGGCGGACGGGUGAGUAACACGUGGAUAACCUACCUAUAAGACUGGGAUAACUUCGGGAAACCGGAGCUAAUACCGGAUAAUAUAUUGAACCGCAUGGUUCAAUAGUGAAAGACGGUUUUGCUGUCACUUAUAGAUGGAUCCGCGCCGCAUUAGCUAGUUGGUAAGGUAACGGCUUACCAAGGCAACGAUGCGUAGCCGACCUGAGAGGGUGAUCGGCCACACUGGAACUGAGACACGGUCCAGACUCCUACGGGAGGCAGCAGUAGGGAAUCUUCCGCAAUGGGCGAAAGCUUGACGGAGCAACGCCGCGUGAGUGAUGAAGGUCUUCGGAUCGUAAAACUCUGUUAUUAGGGAAGAACAAAUGUGUAAGUAACUAUGCACGUCUUGACGGUACCUAAUCAGAAAGCCACGGCUAACUACGUG
This 496-nucleotide ribosomal RNA is filed under the name uncultured bacterium. Its description in RNAcentral is "partial 16S ribosomal RNA". It matches the Rfam family "Bacterial small subunit ribosomal RNA", at positions 29 to 507 of the family's 1533-position model. The record is from RNAcentral.